UUGCAAUUCCACUAGGAUAAACCGCCACUAAAAUCGCAUGCAAAACCACUAACUCAGAUAAACCGCUAGCACAAAGUUUUCUAUCUACUAACCUCGUCGUUGAUGACCCCAGCUAUAUGAGCAACUCCGUCCAACCGAUAUAGCCUUUCCGGAUCGUCUCCCAUCGGCUGAGUAUUCUGUUCGAGUCUUUGUCGGCUCGAAUCUGGGUCGUUUUCUCUGGGAUUUGGUGGGGUAUGAGAAUGGAAAAGUGAUUCGAAUGAGGCUGAUUCAAACUCCUUAUAUAGCCGAAAUCUAUGUAAUUCGAACCAACCCCAUUCGAAUUACUAUUUGAGGGAAAUUUUGAGUAAUUCGAACCAACUAAGUUCGAAUUACUUUGGGAAGCGUUCAAUGUGUAAUUCGAACCAAGCUAGUUCGAAUUAUGCUCCUUGGUAGUUCGAACCAUGUAGAUUCGAAUUAUGUAAAUCACGUGUUCCUUCGUAAUUCGAGUUAGGCUAGUUCGAAUUCCAAUGCUUCUUCCAAUUCCCCUGUUUUACGUACAGUGGCGUCAUAGUUUGUCCAGAAGGGUUGCACACUUGCACUGUUGUUUUCUUCAACUUCCGUAUUCUUCAUCAUUCCUCAUGUGGUUGACGAAGCGGCAGCGACUGUGGACUUCUUCUGCAUCUAAAUCCAAUUAUAUCGAGUCACAAAUCUUCCUUCCUUCCUUUUUAACAAAAUCAUAUUCUUCAAUUAUCCAUAUCUUCCUCUUUGGUACGUUGCUUUUCAGGGUUCAAGAACUGUUCGGCAUUGUGCAUAACGCCCUCAGUUCCACUUUAUUAAUUCUUUUGUUGCUCCUGAUAUCGCACAUCAUCACAAUGCAUGUCUUCUGCGAACACAUCUUCCCUGCAAAAUAUAGAUUUUGAGAUCUUUAAAAAAGGAUGCACAUAAUUAAGGAAAGAGAAUUCAUGGAAAGAUUAAGAAGGAAGCUCAUGAGAAGUUGAAGGUGAAAAGGAGUGAUGUUGUGCACUACAAUUAUCAUGAUGAAAGACGCAAAUGAAGAUUCUCAUGGACAAGAUAUUGGAUGCUUGAACUUUGUGUUACACUUGCUGAUAUGGCUAAGCUUGCUACAACAAAGAUUAAGAGGAACAUCAUCAAUUUUUUCAAAAGCUCAGACACUUGAGGACGGUCGUCAUUCCCCUAGGGAAGCCCAAAAACAAUUUAGGCUUUAAGAAGGGGUUUGCAGCUGGUUGGAGACUGAGUAUAUUCUUUUUUGACUUUGCUCAUAAUGUCCUCAACUCACUUGGCUUUCUCAAAGAGAAUCUCUAGGUGGCUACCUUCUCUAUUUAAGUGUUUUAUCUCUUCUCUCAUUUUAGUUUUGACUAAACUAUCUUCUCAUUCCUGUAGUUUUUUGCCAACGGAGUAUUUUUUUGGUGUUGUUGCCAAUUUUAUCUCUAAGAACCAACACUUGCUCUCACUUCUAGUGACAAGAUUAGAAAGGUAUAUAAAUGGAGUUUAUGAGUUGUGAACAAAAGGAGCGUGUUUCAUGGUGGGUGUUGAUGUUGUGCUUUUUAUGAAGAUAAGAAUGAUGUUGCUGUGCCGUUAUGUGAGGCUGCCGAGAUGAUCAAUGGUGAUGAUUAUGGGAUUCGACAGCAAAUAGGCAGUGAUAGCAGUUUCUAUGGCUCCAUAUAUUAUUCCAGAAGUACCCCUAAUAUGUGAAAAGAUUUUAAUUCACAAGGCGAAAGAAGGAGGCAUUGAUGUCAUUGGAACCUAUGUCUUUCGGAAUGUUCAUGAACUCCUGUUGCAUUUUGGACGAAUUUAACAGAAUUUGCGUGAAGAAACGAAGUCGCAGCAAAAUCAGGAGGUGGCGCCAAACUUGGAGAACAGGAGCACUACACUUUCCCAUUACAUGUGGUCUCAACGGCACCAAACUUGGGAUUCUCCAAGUUUGGCGCCACACACUCAGACUCCAGGAAUACAAGAAGUAGAUGAUGAAACCAAACUUGAGACAUCUCAAGUUUGGCGCCAGCUAAGGAAACCUUGAAGAUUUCAUACGGCCUCAACGACGCCUCCAAGUUUGGCGCCACCUUUAGCAUAUCAAGUGGUCCCCAUUCGUCCAAGUGAAAACUGCACGAA
Non-coding RNA from Arachis ipaensis, 2109 nucleotides. Lineage: Eukaryota; Viridiplantae; Streptophyta; Magnoliopsida; Fabales; Fabaceae. The record is from RefSeq and is a predicted model, not a curated record.